UACGGAGGGGACUAGCGUUGUUCGGAAUUACUGGGCGUAAAGAGUUCGUAGGCGGACUGACAAGUAAGAGGUGAAAUCCCAGGGCUCAACCCUGGAACUGCCUUUUAAACUGUUAGUCUAGAGACCGGAAGAGGUUAGGGGAAUACCUAGUGUAGAGGUGAAAUUCGUAGAUAUUAGGUGGAACACCAGUGGCGAAGGCG
RNAcentral lists this ribosomal RNA (200 nucleotides) under uncultured bacterium. Its description in RNAcentral is "partial 16S ribosomal RNA". It matches the Rfam family "Bacterial small subunit ribosomal RNA", at positions 524 to 723 of the family's 1533-position model. The record is from RNAcentral.